Molecule: long non-coding RNA, 247 nt
Filed under: Coffea arabica (coffee)
Lineage: Eukaryota; Viridiplantae; Streptophyta; Magnoliopsida; Gentianales; Rubiaceae
Description: long non-coding RNA (CARA_LNC008069)
Source: RNAcentral
AGGAUCAUUGAGAAGAUGGCAUACCAAGUAGUGAAGCCAGCAAAGGCUGGUUUGGAUGAGCCUUAGGAGUAGGUUUUCUCCAAAAACAUUGAAGAGUUGCUGUCUUUUCGAUGACUAUCCAUCUUUCUCCAUCUUUUCAUUCCUCUUCUGGGUCUCUUUUUUUUUUUUAUCAAUCUCUUUUUUGCUUUUAAUUUUUGUCUUUUUUUCUUCUAUUACCAGAAGAAAAUAUCAUAUCAUCUUAUUGUUU